This 366-nucleotide ribosomal RNA is filed under the name uncultured bacterium. Its description in RNAcentral is "bacterial SSU rRNA". It matches the Rfam family "Bacterial small subunit ribosomal RNA", at positions 527 to 891 of the family's 1533-position model. The record is from RNAcentral.
GGAGGGUGCAAGCGUUGCUCGGAAUUAUUGGGCGUAAAGGGUAGGUGGGUGGUCUCAUUUGUCUGGGGUGAAAGCCUUGAGCUUAACUCGAGAAGUGCCCCAGAAACGGUGAGACUGGAGUCCUGGAGAGGGUCGUGGAAUUCCCGGUGUAGCGGUGAAAUGCGUAGAGAUCGGGAGGAACACCAGAGGCGAAAGCGGCGACCUGGACAGGUACUGACACUCAAUUACGAAAGCGUGGGGAGCAAACAGGAUUAGAUACCCUGGUAGUCCACGCUGUAAACGAUGGGUACUAGGUUUGGUGGGUCUUGACCCCCGCCGAACCGGMGMWAACGCACUAAGUACCCCGCCUGGGAAGUACGGUCGCAA